GACGAACGCUGGCGGCGUGCUUAACACAUGCAAGUCGAACGGAAAGGCCCUGCUUUUGUGGGGUGCUCGAGUGGCGAACGGGUGCGUAACACGUGAGUAACCUGCCCUUGACUUUGGGAUAACUUCAGGAAACUGGGGCUAAUACCGGACAGGAGCUCCUGCUGCAUGGUGGGGGUUGGAAAGUUUCGGCGGUUGCGGAUGGACUCGCGGGUUAUCAGCUUGUUGGUGGGGUAGUGGCUUACCAAGGCUUUGACGGGUAGCCGGCCUGAGAGGGUGAACGGCCACAAUGGGACUGAGGGACGGCCCAGACGCCUACGGGGGGCAACAGUGGGAAGUAUUACACAGUGGGCGGGAGCCUGAUGCGGCGACGCCGCGGGCGGGAUGACGGCCUUCGGGUUGUGAACCGCUUUCGCCUGUGACGAAGCGUGAGUGACGGUAAUGAGUAAAGAAGCACCGGCUAACUACGUG
RNAcentral lists this ribosomal RNA (468 nucleotides) under uncultured bacterium. RNAcentral's name for it is "partial 16S ribosomal RNA". It matches the Rfam family "Bacterial small subunit ribosomal RNA", at positions 28 to 507 of the family's 1533-position model. The record is from RNAcentral.